UACGUAGGGUGCAAGCGUUGUCCGGAAUUAUUGGGCGUAAAGAGCUCGUAGGCGGUCUGUCGCGUCGGCUGUGAAAACUCGGGGCUCAACCCCGAGCCUGCAGUCGAUACGGGCAGACUAGAGUUCGGUAGGGGAGACUGGAAUUCCUGGUGUAGCGGUGAAAUCCGUUGAUAUCAUGGGGAACACCAAAUGCGAAGGCAAUUCACUGGCGCACUCCUGACGCUGAGACACGAAAGCGUAGGUAGCGAAUGGG
RNAcentral lists this ribosomal RNA (253 nucleotides) under uncultured bacterium. RNAcentral describes it as "partial 16S ribosomal RNA". It matches the Rfam family "Bacterial small subunit ribosomal RNA", at positions 524 to 776 of the family's 1533-position model. The record is from RNAcentral.